RNAcentral lists this unclassified non-coding RNA (495 nucleotides) under Athalia rosae (coleseed sawfly). Its description in RNAcentral is "misc RNA ENSAEAG00005006468.1". The record is from RNAcentral. Lineage: Eukaryota; Metazoa; Arthropoda; Insecta; Hymenoptera; Athaliidae.
CCCGCCACAGGCUUUAAUUAUUUAUAACACUCUCACUUUCCGUCUCGCUACCCUUGACAUAGUGAACAUUUUUAUCGAACCUCACCGAAAUCCUUUUGAGGACCCAUCAAUACCCAACAAUCGGACGACGCCAUGAGACCAUGCUGUAUAAAAACUAUCGGUUUCUUUCUAGCCGGAGAAGAAUUUGGACUACUUGGUAUCCUGUGCAUGACCAAUUUGUAACCAUCGAUUGUGAUAACGUUGUGUUCCUCGGCUGGAUAAUUGUGCUGUUUCACCAAUCCCAUCUGUUCAAAAGAAAAAAUAGAAAGAAAUUUAAUGACCAAAGAAUUUCCGCGUCAAAAAAAGAACGACAAUUGUGCGAUCCGUCGCUAUUGAGACGAUAAUUAAUCUCUAUACCAUUGGACACGAUGCAUUAAAAUUCAAAAAUACGUAAUCGAGCGUAUAAAUAAGAAUAAUGUUAGCGGGCCAACGACAAACGCGGAAAGUCACCGAGAC